Long non-coding RNA from Cyprinus carpio carpio, 482 nucleotides. NCBI's taxonomy places the organism in Eukaryota, Metazoa, Chordata, Actinopteri, Cypriniformes, Cyprinidae. The record is from Ensembl.
UUGGUCGUCCUCUCGCCUCUGUUCCCUCCUCGGCCUGGGGUUACUGCGAAUCUGGCGCUGAAGACUGAAGCUGCUAACGUUAUAUUCGAAUGGGACAGUUAUAUUGCUUCAAUUGGUCUCCUACUUCAUUUGAUUCCACCAUCAUUACAAGGCUGCAAGGGAUCUGGAAAAAUGUCAUCCUGUCAAGCUGAAAAACAUCUUCAAAAAGGCACUAACAAGAACAGCUUGAUUGCAGAGAAGAGACCACACAGCCAUACACGCUCACUGAUGGGACAGUGAGGAACAUCAUUCAUGGAUGCUACACAACUCAAAUCUACACGUCAUAUUUGUUCAUGUCUAGGUAAAUUUGAUGAUUUUGUGUUUUAUUAAUUACUUUGUUUCUGUGCAACACUUAAUGAAUGUGACUGACUAAUUAACCUCUACACAUCUGGUAUAUGCUUUAAAGUUGCCACUUUGCCCAUUUGUUCAAUAAAUGUUGAAAU